UUGGGGCCUGCCCCCACGAGAUGAAGAUGAGGACCAACUUUAUCUUCUAUUAGACGCAGAGUCUCUGGUCUGAUUCCUCAGUCUGCCGUCUUGAAAGCCUGACCGUGCAGAACCCCUGAAGCUCUCCUGGGAGGAGGAACCAUCACCACCCUCGGAAAGGCCACCUUGACUUUGGUCACUUUACAGGGGACAAAAACCAACUCUGUUCUUGGAGCCACGAGGGCCACUCCUUUAAGUGCCAAAAGGCGCCCCCUUACAGGAACCCUGAAUUCCACCUCGGAGCAUCAAUACCUCCAUGAACCAGGCUGCAUAUAUUUACAGAGGGAAUCAUAUCACCCAUUUCCCUGGUGGUAAAGGUG
This is a non-coding RNA of Marmota flaviventris (yellow-bellied marmot), 359 nucleotides long. NCBI's taxonomy places the organism in Eukaryota, Metazoa, Chordata, Mammalia, Rodentia, Sciuridae. The record is from RefSeq and is a predicted model, not a curated record.